UAGUUUCAUAUUUUAGUUUCAUGUCUUCAUGCUUGGGAACCUAACUUCUCAGUUUAGGAGAGCUUAUUAUAGGGAAAAAGACUGCCUUUUAUGAAUUCAAUCUACACAUCUUCUAAGCACAUCGUUAUUGCUAUAUCUCAAGGUUAUCAUGAAUAAAGAGGGCACAUUGCGGGCAACUUCUGGUGUUGAGGAUUUGGCAUUACUGAAGACAACAUAAGUAAGCUACUUUCUCAUAUCAAAGAAGUUUGUUUGGAUUGAAAAAUGCUAAAGUAACUAUGUCAAAUGGUAUUAAUAACAGCCAUCUAAGGGUUUGUAUAUAUGCUCGAAUGUAAUUUUUUUGUUUAUGUAUGCCUACUGUUAUGGAGACUUUAUUUA
Helianthus annuus (common sunflower) is the source of this 375-nucleotide long non-coding RNA. RefSeq lists it as uncharacterized. Lineage: Eukaryota; Viridiplantae; Streptophyta; Magnoliopsida; Asterales; Asteraceae. The transcript has 2 exons. The record is from RefSeq and is a predicted model, not a curated record.